This 66-nucleotide transfer RNA is filed under the name Protambulyx ockendeni. RNAcentral's name for it is "tRNA-Ala". It matches the Rfam family "tRNA". Rfam says of the family: Transfer RNA (tRNA) molecules are approximately 80 nucleotides in length. Lineage: Eukaryota; Metazoa; Arthropoda; Insecta; Lepidoptera; Sphingidae. The record is from RNAcentral.
AGGAUUUUAGUUUAUAAAAACAUUUGAUUUGCAAUCAAAAAUUAUUGAACCUAUCAAUUUAUCUUA